AAACCUUAUGAGAUCGUAUUAUAAAAAUAGUGACAUGUAUAUUGCAUGAAAAUAAACAUAUUUAAUUAUUCAAUCAUCACAAUCUUCCGUGUCUUAUAUAAUUAUACCGGUGAUAGCUAAUUAAACGUGGCAAAUGUUAUUAAUUGCACGUUGCACGGAGACGUGUACAUCUACGUACACGCGUAGCAACAAAAUCGGUUGAAAGUCACGCAAAAUCGUCACGGUGCACGGUAAUCUCAAGUAUCAGUGUACGUGGACAUUCCCGUGAGGAAUCGUGGAAAAUAAUCUAGUUUUCCACCUAGAUAUCAUCAAAGGUAAACGGAUGCGUGAAUGAGGUAAUUUACAGGUGCGAAAUAAAACUAGGACGUACUGCGUGAGAUAUAGAGAUUUUAAAACGCUUGGAGCUUGUUGCGAGUUCUUUUAAACUACGAUAUCGCCUGCGGCGCCCUUUUUUCUCGCCUGUUAUCAUGCCUCGUAGCUUUUGUUACUUUUUCAAAGACGGUACGGUGUGCGUUAUUCAGGAAAUGGCAAUAAAAGGAGCGCGUUGAUUUCGAUAGAAUGGGUGCGCGAUGUCUGUCUGAAAACGAAACAAGGACGCGAUAGAGCCGGCUAGAAAAAGUUCUAAUACGGCGCAGCUGACGUUGGCCUUUAUUUGGCCAACCUUACAAAGUCUGUGCACGGUUCUAAGUAUGAUAAUAGGAAAAACGUGGUUCUCUUAGCGCCCUUUGUCUAAUCAUCCGAGCAGUCGAACUCGCGCUCGUGCAAUUUCUUCCCCUCUAGCGACAAUGUUAAUUUUAAAGGACUCGGUACGCGUUUUAUUAGAUUUUGUACGUCAAUAAGAACGCGCAGUGGCUGGUGAAAUUUAUUUUUAUGAAUGAUGUAUUAGGAAUAUGUUGAAAAUUUGUAUGAAUAUAUAAUGUUACACGAGACAAUUUGAAUUUCAUUAACACUGCAACGAGCAGUAGUUGCAAUGCGGAUUUUCAUCCGUUUAUGGAAUAUUUUGAAGACAAAAAAGCACAUGAUAUAUGAAAAUCCAUAAAACGAGAUAUAAUACUCAUUAUGGUUUCCAACAGACCGAACGAAUUUCAAUUUGUUUCAUUUCUUUAAUUGUACCCGUGAAAACAUAAUAUUAGUAUCUGUAAUUCUAUUGGUAUAAUUCGAAAAUGUAGGUAUAGUUUAUAUUUAUUAUUAUUUGUUAUUAUAUACAAUUUAUUUUGUGCAAACAUAUAUUUAGCAAGAAAUUUGCUUUACACGAAUGUAGACAUAACGAAGACUGUUUACUUGAAAUUAACUUAAAAUAAGUUAAGAGCAAGAUUAUAAUCCAACUAAGACUAUAUGAGAAUACGAAAAAUUAGAACGUAAACGAGAUUAUGUAGACUGUAGCAACUGCAUAAGAUGAUUUUUCUAGACACAUUAGACCAUAAGGACGUAUCUUAAACUCUUGAUAUUAACGGCGAUAGUUAAUUGUAGAGAAAAUUACAGGCUGCGCGGUUCUUCGAAAAAGUAGAGCACCGUCAAUUUACGGCGUAAGACGUUACCUUUUGUACGCAAAUAAAAGUAGAUCUCUUGCGUCGCGUUUCUUAAGUUUAAAUAAAAUCUCCAGAGUAUUAAAGUCGAAGUCGGCGUGCGCAUUUGCGCCGCUCUAUUUCAUUAUUAAAUCCUCCGGUGUAAUACAAGAGAAUAUUUACAUUCAUGAUACAAGCGUCGAGCCAGUUUCGAUCGAAAACACGAUUUAGUUGCUUCACCUUUUCGAAAAAUACGAACUAUAUUUUAAAAAAGGGAAAGGGGAUAAGCGUUAGGACGACAGUUUUAAAAUCGAGCAAAGUUUUCAGCGCGUAGAUUACGUACACGAUGCUGUGUCAGAGAUGGAAUGGUUAAAAAUGAGAAAAUGUCAUUGACGUUGAGAAACUUAUUGAUGACGCAGUUUGCAUCUCGUAUCAAACGUCCCACGUCAGAUCGUUAGUCCCAACGUGCGACGUAAUUCCGCUAAGCCUGACCUACCACGAGAUAGGCAGAUAUUUCUAAAAGCAGUGAAUGAACGAUCGAUAAGGUGGGCUGACGGGUUGAAAGAUCCAGUGAUUCCGAAAAUUGCUAAAGGAAGAAAGUUAAAUCAAGCUGAAGCGGUAAGCCUGGUCUCAUCCUUUCUUAUUAAACCUAUGGAACAUGUAUAAACCGCACCUAACGAUUCGAAAUUCGAUAUAUGUAGCAGCUUUAAAAUUUAAAGCCAGCCAAUCUACGAGACGCUAUUAACAACGCUUCUUGUUACAAGUUAUGCCUCUAUUUCCUCUGUAGCCUUUUUCUUGUUACUUUUUGCUAUUUGAUAAUAUAUUCUUGCAACUUUCGUUCUAUGCAGCUUCGUAGGAUAGAAACAAGACUGUAAUUGAAUAAAUCAAAUUUUGGUAAAUGCUGGUACAAGUAAGGAAUUGUUAAGGAAGAAAGAUGAAGUGAGACUCUUAAACGUCGUUAAAAUAAAAGCUACAUCGUUUAACGUCCUAUUGCCACGGAAUUUCCUUUAUUUUUGGGAUAAAGGAACAGAAUCGAUUGAAACCUUUCACUUUAAUCUGAAAUUAGUAGUUCCAAAAUCCAAUGAAUAUGUCCAUAUAAAAUAGAACGAUAUAGCGACAGUUGGAAAAAAUUUUCAAAAUGUAAUUUUCAAAAUGUAACGUAACGUUAUAGAGGGCUAAAGAUAAAGUAAAAGAUUAUAACGAUAGUAUUUCUGUAAAAUAUGAAAAUUCCAAGAAACGCGAGAUUAAUAAAAGUUCCCCUCUUUGAAAUAUGAUUUCCAAAUAAAAGCGUAUUUAAAACUGUGAGCUUAAUUAUCGCAGGAUUUAUGUAUUAAAAAAUCUUUUAUUAUUGAUAUUGCAUUAAAAUUGUUCUCUGGAAUAUUACGAAGCUUAAAAACAAUACAUUGAUCUAUAUGGAAGAUAUGGAAGAUUAUUACCACAUUUAGCAACGAUAUUUGAAAUUCGUUUCGCGCAAGAACGUGUAAUAUAUGUAUAAUUCAUGAUUAAUCGGAUUCACGAAAUCGAUGAUCAGAAUCCUAUCUCAUUUUCCUUUGCGACACGUAACGCUAAAUAUACCACCGAUCGUAAUCGGAUCCGUACGAUCAAAUGAAUCAGUUUCUCUUUUUUCAUAUCUGAUUCAACAUAAUACUCUUUUCUGUUAAAAGAAGAGGAAAAUUUAUAUACAAGUUUCGAGAAUUAUGUAAACAGAAUCGAGACACCGAUGAAUCGACGACUAUAGUAGAAUCUCAAGUAGAAUUCCUAAAAAUAAACCAGAAAUUCAUCGUUCGUAACACGCCUACUUGGAAAUCUCACCGACCACCCAUCCUCUAUCUAUUUUAUUAAUUUUCCAUUCCCUGUUUUCCCGGUUUAACGCGAAAGCAGAUAAGAGCCAAGGGCUAUAAAAGUGUCUCGUUCAAAAUCAAAGCUCUCUGAUAUUUUCUCAAUAUAUGUAUAGAGUACGUAUGUAUGUAUAUGUGUAUAGUGGUUGCUGUUGAAUUGGCAGGCUGUAUUUCUCUGCGGCAUGUUAUCGAAAGUAAAACAGCGUGUAAAUUCGCAGAAAUAUGUAUGUAUCGUAAAUUCUUUUAUGCCGUAAGUAAAAGUUGUCCCAUUACUGCGUAUAUUGUAAGUUAAAAGUCGUAGUAUUUUUAUUAGACGUUUCUUCAAUUUGUAUCAAUCAUGAACGCGUAUUUUGCAUCUAAGGUACAUUCAAACGAUCAAUACUGUUGCCAAUAUUAAUUAUUUAUUUACGAGUUUGGUUUAAGGUGUUUCCAGUGACCAUAAAGUCACCAACGACUGCCAAACAAAAUGAAAAGAAAAAAAAACAUCGUUUUUAAUUACUUGCUUGAAACAUUGAAUAAUAUUCAGUUACAUGGAAUCGAGUAGAUUUAUUUGUUUAAAAAUCUCUAACGCGUCAAGAAUGCUUUGAGAAUCGUUCAGAUCAGAUCUGAUUUCGGCUUUGACAUUAAAAUAUGCUACAUGGUAAUGACGAUGUUGGCGAUCCAAUCAGAACAACAUCAAAAUCCAACGAGAAAUCAGGACGUGAUUGUUUUGUUAUUAAAUGUUCAUGGGUUAGUCUACAACGUGAUAAUCCGGGUAAGGGUAGCUUUAUUUUUUCUGGUUUGUGUUGGAACGUUCGGUUCUUACGGUCUUGUCAAUAUUAUUGUCAAUAUUGAAGGAUGUCAACAUUGUCGUACGUAAGAGAUCCUCUAGCCGAUCAAUGGGCCGAGUUUAAACCGAGCUCAUUUGAAUGCUUUAAAGCAUGUUUAUUUUUAUUCUCGUAUUAAUUUUAAUAACUCAUUUUAAUAUUCAGGUGGAGCCAACAGACGCAGAGACAGCGUCGUCUGUGGACGUACCUUAUCUGAUAAGUUCACGUUAAGGAACAACACGUUAAGAAAAUAAUAAUCAAUUACUUAAUUUAGGUAACAAAUAAGAAGGUAAACUCGACUGAAAUUGGAAACGAAUUGCAGAACCUUCGUAUUGAGAAAGAAAUAUCGUUAAAAGUAAACAUCAGAAUAUGGGAGACGAUGGCGAUGUGGUCAACGUAGCUGGCUACAAAAAUGCCAGGACUCUGGUUCGAAUCCUCGCCUGUGUGUUGUAAAUUCUGUCUCCAAUUUUUCGGGAUGUCUCUUGCUUACUUGAACAAAGCUCAGCUCGGGAUGAGAGGAGGAAAAAAAGGGGAGGAGGAGAACCAAUCGCAGACCAAAAAAAAAAAAAAACAA
Bombus pyrosoma is the source of this 4723-nucleotide long non-coding RNA. RefSeq lists it as uncharacterized. Lineage: Eukaryota; Metazoa; Arthropoda; Insecta; Hymenoptera; Apidae. The record is from RefSeq and is a predicted model, not a curated record. The transcript is spliced from 2 exons.